Molecule: ribosomal RNA, 1371 nt
Filed under: uncultured bacterium
Lineage: Bacteria
Description: 16S ribosomal RNA
Rfam family: Bacterial small subunit ribosomal RNA
Source: RNAcentral
GAUGAACGCUGGCGGCGUGCCUAAUACAUGCAAGUCGAGCGAACGGACGAGAAGCUUGCUUCUCUGAUGUUAGCGGCGGACGGGUGAGUAACACGUGGAUAACCUACCUAUAAGACUGGGAUAACUUCGGGAAACCGGAGCUAAUACCGGAUAAUAUUUUGAACCGCAUGGUUCAAAAGUGAAAGACGGUCUUGCUGUCACUUAUAGAUGGAUCCGCGCUGCAUUAGCUAGUUGGUAAGGUAACGGCUUACCAAGGCAACGAUGCAUAGCCGACCUGAGAGGGUGAUCGGCCACACUGGAACUGAGACACGGUCCAGACUCCUACGGGAGGCAGCAGUAGGGAAUCUUCCGCAAUGGGCGAAAGCCUGACGGAGCAACGCCGCGUGAGUGAUGAAGGUCUUCGGAUCGUAAAACUCUGUUAUUAGGGAAGAACAUAUGUGUAAGUAACUGUGCACAUCUUGACGGUACCUAAUCAGAAAGCCACGGCUAACUACGUGCCAGCAGCCGCGGUAAUACGUAGGUGGCAAGCGUUAUCCGGAAUUAUUGGGCGUAAAGCGCGCGUAGGCGGUUUUUUAAGUCUGAUGUGAAAGCCCACGGCUCAACCGUGGAGGGUCAUUGGAAACUGGAAAACUUGAGUGCAGAAGAGGAAAGUGGAAUUCCAUGUGUAGCGGUGAAAUGCGCAGAGAUAUGGAGGAACACCAGUGGCGAAGGCGACUUUCUGGUCUGUAACUGACGCUGAUGUGCGAAAGCGUGGGGAUCAAACAGGAUUAGAUACCCUGGUAGUCCACGCCGUAAACGAUGAGUGCUAAGUGUUAGGGGGUUUCCGCCCCUUAGUGCUGCAGCUAACGCAUUAAGCACUCCGCCUGGGGAGUACGACCGCAAGGUUGAAACUCAAAGGAAUUGACGGGGACCCGCACAAGCGGUGGAGCAUGUGGUUUAAUUCGAAGCAACGCGAAGAACCUUACCAAAUCUUGACAUCCUUUGACAACUCUAGAGAUAGAGCCUUCCCCUUCGGGGGACAAAGUGACAGGUGGUGCAUGGUUGUCGUCAGCUCGUGUCGUGAGAUGUUGGGUUAAGUCCCGCAACGAGCGCAACCCUUAAGCUUAGUUGCCAUCAUUAAGUUGGGCACUCUAAGUUGACUGCCGGUGGCAAACCGGAGGAAGGUGGGAUGACGUCAAAUCAUCAUGCCCCUUAUGAUUUGGGCUACACACGUGCUACAAUGGACAAUACAAAGGGCAGCGAAACCGCGAGGUCAAGCAAAUCCCAUAAAGUUGUUCUCAGUUCGGAUUGUAGUCUGCAACUCGACUACAUGAAGCUGGAAUCGCUAGUAAUCGUAGAUCAGCAUGCUACGGUGAAUACGUUCCCGGGUCU